RNAcentral lists this transfer RNA (74 nucleotides) under Nocardioides aromaticivorans. Its description in RNAcentral is "tRNA-Gly". It matches the Rfam family "tRNA". From Rfam's summary of the family: Transfer RNA (tRNA) molecules are approximately 80 nucleotides in length. Their secondary structure includes four short double-helical elements and three loops (D, anti-codon, and T loops). The record is from RNAcentral. Lineage: Bacteria; Bacillati; Actinomycetota; Actinomycetes; Propionibacteriales; Nocardioidaceae. RNAcentral also lists the same sequence under 1 other name.
GCGGGUGAAGUGUUACGGCAGCACCCCUGGCUUCCACCCAGGUCGCGCGGGUUCGACUCCCGCCGCCCGCACCA